ACAAUGGGCGCAAGCCUGAUCCAGCCAUACCGCGUGUGUGAAGAAGCCCUAGGUUGUAAAGCACUUUAAGUUGGGAAGAAAAGUUAUUGGCUAAUACCCAAUGACCGUGACAUUACCUUCAGAAUAAGGACCGGCUAAUUCCGUGCCAGCAGCCGCGG
This 158-nucleotide ribosomal RNA is filed under the name uncultured bacterium. Its description in RNAcentral is "partial 16S ribosomal RNA". It matches the Rfam family "Bacterial small subunit ribosomal RNA", at positions 368 to 520 of the family's 1533-position model. The record is from RNAcentral.